UACGGAGGGUGCAAGCGUUAUCCGGAUUCACUGGGUUUAAAGGGUGCGUAGGUGGGUCUGUAAGUCCGUGGUGAAAUCUCCGAGCUUAACUUGGAAACUGCCAUGGAUACUAUAGGUCUUGAAUACUGUGGAGGUCAGCGGAAUAUGUCAUGUAGCGGUGAAAUGCUUAGAUAUGACAUAGAACGCCAAUUGCGAAGGCAGCUGGCUACACAAAUAUUGACACUGAGGCACGAAAGCGUGGGGAUCAAACAGG
Molecule: ribosomal RNA, 253 nt
Filed under: uncultured bacterium
Lineage: Bacteria
Description: partial 16S ribosomal RNA
Rfam family: Bacterial small subunit ribosomal RNA
Source: RNAcentral